UAAUAAUUUGAAUAUUACAAAUUAUAAAAUUAUACUAAAAAAACAAAAAAAAAAUUUGAAAAAAAAAAAGAAAACGUUAUACAAAAAGAGAAUAUGUAUGUAAAUUGCACGGAAAUGUAAUCGAAAUAUAUGUAAGGUGUUGUAUAUAGAAUGAAUAAAUAUCACACGAUGGUCGCUCUGAUGGUGCGACGAUGGACUUCCAACUAGGUGCGAGACGUGGCCAGGGAAGGCAAGAACAAAAGUCGGCAUACCGCUGAUGGGAAGAGGAACGAUUCGGCAUCCCAGCCGGUUGUUCAGGAUGGAUGGACGACGAGUCAUGCGGAAGGUCGAUGGUCAAUGGUGUUGGGUGCUGGGCAGGACGAAGCGAAAACAACAAGAAGCAAUUCGGGAAUCGUGAUCACCAUCUGAUCCUAAGGACACUGAAGUGAAAGUAGUAGAAUUCAUGAUGGAACUGGAUUUCAUAAUUGGAGUAAUGACUUUGUACACUUUACGUUGAAGUAAAAGAUUACAACAGUCUAAAAAAAUAAUGAUUAUUUAUCGCCGGAAACUGAUGAUAAAGAGAAUAACUCGGAUCCAGAUAAGGAUGAACAGGAUCUAAAAUAAGGAUCAAAGAUGAACUGGAAGAGAUGACAUUUAAUGAUUGGAGAGCCUAAACUGCUAUAAUAGCAAACACUACAAUCGGAGCAGCAAAUGAAGCUCUAAAACUAGCAAACAAAAACAAGUUCUUGAAGUUGAAUUUCAUUCCAACGAAGAUGUGAUGGACUAAAGUACCGUUCUAAAAGGUUGUUCAGGAAUGGAACCCAGAGACACGCAACAGUGGAUCAAGACGGAUGAGACGGCGCAACGCGGAAGGAGGCAAGCGGCAACUCACACCUAGUACCAGAGACCAACCAAUUGACGAGUCACCAGUCGACGGAUAUACGGAGCGGAAGAGGAGUAGCCGGUGAACAAUGAGAAUCUUAUAUAAAAUAAAAAUUAUAGAGUUUAUGCAAAUGUUUGAAAAAAAAAACAAAACAUUAUAUUUACAAAUAUAUAUUAUAUUUACAUUAUAUUAUAUUUACAAUUAGGAAAAAAAAAAAAAAAAAAAAAAUACACAUUCAUAUAUAAAAAAAAAAUCUAUUGCAAUAUAUAAGUUAUCAACACAGUCAACCAAUCUUCAGUAUCGACCAACGCCAACAUUACUUAUCAGCAGGUUCUAGCGCUUAAGUAAACACUUAAGCAUAAAUAACGCCAUGUGGUAAAUGCGACCGACGAACAAUUAUGCAGCCACAGAUAAGGACUCGAGUCGACACCAUAAAACGGUUAAACAUUCUUUCUGAGAAGAAGGAAGAAGGGAAACAUAGAGAUAGGCAGAUAGGGUAGAUUAUAAGCUAGCUUUGUACAUGAAAUAGAAAAUAAAGAUCAGUCUUGUCGUAACCUUAACAGGAGCAACAUAGCUCACUAGUUUUAGUUUUCAUUAUCCGAAAUUCUUUCGCUAUUUAACUGGCGCAGUCGGUAGGAUAGUGUUUUAAGUGUUCGCGAAACGUUAGUUUAAUUUCAGCAAUUGCGCCUGCGCGAACGAAUAUCGUGUAGUGGUGAUUAAUCUGACGAAACCGGACGCAACACUAGUUCCAGCUCUAAAAAUCAGCUAUACAAGUAUGCAGCUUGAUUCUGCUGAAGCUAUGUCUGUAAAAAACAGCAUUAUGCUGCACAUCAUGAAAUAUUUCAAUGAUGUAGGAAAAAGAAAACUUUUUGCGGUCGCAACGCUUCUUGAUCCCCGAUUCAAGAAAAUACAUUUUGAAAGUCCUCUCACGGUGGCCCCCGCUAUUUCAUGGGUUGGGGAACUUGUCAGAACAGCUGCGGAAGAGUCACCUGAAUUCGAAUACGAUCUUCGGAUAUCAGGAGAGCCAGAAACAAACACCACUACCGACGACUUGUGGGCGAUUCAUGAUUCCAUGGUAGCUGAAAGCAAUCGCGUGCAUGGAGAUGACAGCGCCGGAGGAAUUCCCAUUGAACUGAGGCAGUAUUUAAAUACUACAGUCGCUCCGAGGACCUGUGACCCACUUAUAGUGUGGAAUGAAAUACGAGCACAGUAUCCAAACGUGCAUAAAAUAGCUAUGCAAUUUUUAUGUAAUUCAGCGACGUCUGUUCCUUCGGAACGUUUGUUCUCGAAAGCAGGGCAGAUAAUGACUAAGCAAAGAAACCGCUUGUCCGGUUCUAACUUAGACAUGAUAUUAUUCCUACAAUCGAUCGAUGAAAAUGUUUGGUUUUCGUAAAGGUGCGAGAUAGCUGAAAAAUUGCGAUAUUACGUUGCAUCGUUUUAGUGUCUACUGCACAGAGAAAGACACCAAAACGAUUCAACGUAAAAUCGAAAUUUUUCACCGCUUUCGCAGCUUUUUGCGGAACUGUGCGAUAAAUGUAUACAGGAAAUCCUGUUUUUGAGCGAUCCUUUUUUGUACGAUUUCUCGUUUGUACGACCCUUUUUGCGCGAUUUUAUUAUCUGAGCGAAUAGAUUGUGUGAUCUAAGUUCUGAUUUGAUAAUAAAAUGGCACAGAAAGGGUCGCACAAACGAGAAAUCGAACAAAAAAGUACCGCACAAAAACAGGUU
Toxorhynchites rutilus septentrionalis is the source of this 2587-nucleotide RNA transcript. It is a transcript of the gene named E3 SUMO-protein ligase ZBED1-like, with no coding region annotated. Lineage: Eukaryota; Metazoa; Arthropoda; Insecta; Diptera; Culicidae. The transcript is spliced from 3 exons. The record is from RefSeq and is a predicted model, not a curated record.